GGGGUGCGGACAGUGUCUGGUGGGUAGUUUGACUGGGGCGGUCUCCUCCCAAAGAGUAACGGAGGAGCACGAAGGUUGGCUAAGCAUGGUCGGACAUCAUGCGGUUAGUGCAAAGGCAUAAGCCAGCUUGACUGCGAGAGUGACGGCUCGAGCAGGUACGAAAGUAGGUCUUAGUGAUCCGGUGGUUCUGAAUGGAAGGGCCAUCGCUCAACGGAUAAAAGGUACUCCGGGGAUAACAGGCUGAUACCGCCCAAGAGUUCAUAUCGACGGCGGUGUUUGGCACCUCGAUGUCGGCUCAUCACAUCCUGGGGCUGAAGUAGGUCCCAAGGGUACGGCUGUUCGCCGUUUAAAGUGGUACGCGAGCUGGGUUUAGAACGUCGUGAGACAGUUCGGUCCCUAUCUGCCGUGGGCGUUGGAAGAUUGAAAGGGGCUGCUCCUAGUACGAGAGGACCGGAGUGGACGCACCACUGGUGUUCGGGUUGUCAUGCCAAUGGCAUUGCCCGGUAGCUAAGUGCGGAAGAGAUAACCGCUGAAAGCAUCUAAGCGGGAAACUUGCCUUGAGAUGAGUCUUCCCUGACCCUUUAAGGGUCCUAAAGGAACGUUUAAGACUAAGACGUUGAUAGGUUGGGUGUGUAAGCAUAGCGAUAUGUUGAGCUAACCAAUACUAAUGAACCGUGAGGCUUAACCUG
Molecule: ribosomal RNA, 689 nt
Filed under: Providencia rettgeri
Lineage: Bacteria; Pseudomonadati; Pseudomonadota; Gammaproteobacteria; Enterobacterales; Morganellaceae
Also listed under: 1 other name
Description: partial 23S ribosomal RNA
Rfam family: Bacterial large subunit ribosomal RNA
Source: RNAcentral